Molecule: ribosomal RNA, 918 nt
Filed under: uncultured archaeon
Lineage: Archaea
Description: bacterial SSU rRNA
Rfam family: Archaeal small subunit ribosomal RNA
Source: RNAcentral
UCCGGUUGAUCCUGCCGGCGGUCACUGCUAUCGAGUUUCGACUAAGCCAUGCGAGUCACAGGCCGAAAGGUACUGGCGGACGGCUCAGUAACACGCGGAUAAUCUACCCUCAGGUGGGGUAUACCCUUGGGAAACUGAGGCUAAUCCCCCAUAGGUCCUGUAAACUGGAAUGUUUUAGGACUGAAAGUCACGGCGCCUGAGGAUGAGUCUGCGGCCUAUCAGGUAGUAGGUGGGGUAAAGGCCCACAUAGCCUAUGACGGGUACGGGCCCUGAGAGGGGUAGCCCGGAGAUGGGUUCUGAGACACGAACCCAGGCCCUACGGGGCGCAGCAGGCGCGAAACCUUCGCAAUGCGCGCAAGCGCGACGAGGGGAACUCGAGUGCUAUUAUCCUUUUGGGUGAUAGCUUUUCUCGAUCCUAAAAAGAUCGGGGAAUAAAAGCUGGGUAAGACGGGUGCCAGCCGCCGCGGUAAUACCCGCAGCUCAAGUGGUGGCCACUAUUAUUGAGCCUAAAGCGUCCGUAGCCGGUCUUGUAAAUCUCUGGGUAAAUCCCAUCGCUCAACGGUGGGAAGACUGGAGAGACUGCAAGACUAGGGAUCGGGUGAGGUAAGAGGUACUCCUGGGGUAGGGGUAAAAUCCUGUAAUCCUGGGGGGACGACCGGUGGCGAAGGCGUCUUACUAGAACGACUCCGACGGUGAGGGACGAAGGCUAGGGGAGCAAACCGGAUUAGAUACCCGGGUAGUCCUAGCUGUAAACGCUGCCCACUUGGUGUUGCCCUUUCGUAGGGAAGGGGCAGUGCCGGAGCGAAGGUGUUAAGUGGGCCGCUUGGGGAGUAUGGUCGCAAGGCUGAAACUUAAAGGAAUUGGCGGGAGAGCAUCGCAACGGGAGGAGCGUGCGGUUUAAUUGGAUUCAACGCCGGG